This 2462-nucleotide ribosomal RNA is filed under the name Escherichia coli. RNAcentral's name for it is "partial 23S ribosomal RNA". It matches the Rfam family "Bacterial large subunit ribosomal RNA", at positions 473 to 2915 of the family's 2925-position model. The record is from RNAcentral. Lineage: Bacteria; Pseudomonadati; Pseudomonadota; Gammaproteobacteria; Enterobacterales; Enterobacteriaceae.
CUCCUGACUGACCGAUAGUGAACCAGUACCGUGAGGGAAAGGCGAAAAGAACCCCGGCGAGGGGAGUGAAAAAGAACCUGAAACCGUGUACGUACAAGCAGUGGGAGCACGCUUAGGCGUGUGACUGCGUACCUUUUGUAUAAUGGGUCAGCGACUUAUAUUCUGUAGCAAGGUUAACCGAAUAGGGGAGCCGAAGGGAAACCGAGUCUUAACUGGGCGUUAAGUUGCAGGGUAUAGACCCGAAACCCGGUGAUCUAGCCAUGGGCAGGUUGAAGGUUGGGUAACACUAACUGGAGGACCGAACCGACUAAUGUUGAAAAAUUAGCGGAUGACUUGUGGCUGGGGGUGAAAGGCCAAUCAAACCGGGAGAUAGCUGGUUCUCCCCGAAAGCUAUUUAGGUAGCGCCUCGUGAAUUCAUCUCCGGGGGUAGAGCACUGUUUCGGCAAGGGGGUCAUCCCGACUUACCAACCCGAUGCAAACUGCGAAUACCGGAGAAUGUUAUCACGGGAGACACACGGCGGGUGCUAACGUCCGUCGUGAAGAGGGAAACAACCCAGACCGCCAGCUAAGGUCCCAAAGUCAUGGUUAAGUGGGAAACGAUGUGGGAAGGCCCAGACAGCCAGGAUGUUGGCUUAGAAGCAGCCAUCAUUUAAAGAAAGCGUAAUAGCUCACUGGUCGAGUCGGCCUGCGCGGAAGAUGUAACGGGGCUAAACCAUGCACCGAAGCUGCGGCAGCGACGCUGAUGCGUUGUUGGGUAGGGGAGCGUUCUGUAAGCCUGUGAAGGUGUGCUGUGAGGCAUGCUGGAGGUAUCAGAAGUGCGAAUGCUGACAUAAGUAACGAUAAAGCGGGUGAAAAGCCCGCUCGCCGGAAGACCAAGGGUUCCUGUCCAACGUUAAUCGGGGCAGGGUGAGUCGACCCCUAAGGCGAGGCCGAAAGGCGUAGUCGAUGGGAAACAGGUUAAUAUUCCUGUACUUGGUGUUACUGCGAAGGGGGGACGGAGAAGGCUAUGUUGGCCGGGCGACGGUUGUCCCGGUUUAAGCGUGUAGGCUGGUUUUCCAGGCAAAUCCGGAAAAUCAAGGCUGAGGCGUGAUGACGAGGCACUACGGUGCUGAAGCAACAAAUGCCCUGCUUCCAGGAAAAGCCUCUAAGCAUCAGGUAACAUCAAAUCGUACCCCAAACCGACACAGGUGGUCAGGUAGAGAAUACCAAGGCGCUUGAGAGAACUCGGGUGAAGGAACUAGGCAAAAUGGUGCCGUAACUUCGGGAGAAGGCACGCUGAUAUGUAGGUGAAGCGACUUGCUCGUGGAGCUGAAAUCAGUCGAAGAUACCAGCUGGCUGCAACUGUUUAUUAAAAACACAGCACUGUGCAAACACGAAAGUGGACGUAUACGGUGUGACGCCUGCCCGGUGCCGGAAGGUUAAUUGAUGGGGUCAGCGCAAGCGAAGCUCUUGAUCGAAGCCCCGGUAAACGGCGGCCGUAACUAUAACGGUCCUAAGGUAGCGAAAUUCCUUGUCGGGUAAGUUCCGACCUGCACGAAUGGCGUAAUGAUGGCCAGGCUGUCUCCACCCGAGACUCAGUGAAAUUGAACUCGCUGUGAAGAUGCAGUGUACCCGCGGCAAGACGGAAAGACCCCGUGAACCUUUACUAUAGCUUGACACUGAACAUUGAGCCUUGAUGUGUAGGAUAGGUGGGAGGCUUUGAAGUGUGGACGCCAGUCUGCAUGGAGCCGGCCUUGAAAUACCACCCUUUAAUGUUUGAUGUUCUAACGUUGACCCGUGAUCCGGGUUGCGGACAGUGUCUGGUGGGUAGUUUGACUGGGGCGGUCUCCUCCUAAAGAGUAACGGAGGAGCACGAAGGUUGGCUAAUCCUGGUCGGACAUCAGGAGGUUAGUGCAAUGGCAUAAGCCAGCUUGACUGCGAGCGUGACGGCGCGAGCAGGUGCGAAAGCAGGUCAUAGUGAUCCGGUGGUUCUGAAUGGAAGGGCCAUCGCUCAACGGAUAAAAGGUACUCCGGGGAUAACAGGCUGAUACCGCCCAAGAGUUCAUAUCGACGGCGGUGUUUGGCACCUCGAUGUCGGCUCAUCACAUCCUGGGGCUGAAGUAGGUCCCAAGGGUAUGGCUGUUCGCCAUUUAAAGUGGUACGCGAGCUGGGUUUAGAACGUCGUGAGACAGUUCGGUCCCUAUCUGCCGUGGGCGCUGGAGAACUGAGGGGGGCUGCUCCUAGUACGAGAGGACCGGAGUGGACGCAUCACUGGUGUUCGGGUUGUCAUGCCAAUGGCACUGCCCGGUAGCUAAAUGCGGAAGAGAUAAGUGCUGAAAGCAUCUAAGCACGAAACUUGCCCCGAGAUGAGUUCUCCCUGACUCCUUGAGAGUCCUGAAGGAACGUUGAAGACGACGACGUUGAUAGGCCGGGUGUGUAAGCGCAGCGAUGCGUUGAGCUAACCGGUACUAAUGAACCGUGAG